Molecule: ribosomal RNA, 440 nt
Filed under: uncultured bacterium
Lineage: Bacteria
Description: bacterial SSU rRNA
Rfam family: Bacterial small subunit ribosomal RNA
Source: RNAcentral
GCAAAACGCGAAGAACCUUACCAGGCCUUGACAUGCAGAGAACUUUCCAGAGAUGGAUUGGUGCCUUCGGGAACUCUGACACAGGUGCUGCAUGGCUGUCGUCAGCUUGUGUCGUGAGAUGUUGGGUUAAGUCCCGUAACGAGCGCAACCCUUGUCCUUAGUUACCAGCACGUUAUGGUGGGCACUCUAAGGAGACUGCCGGUGACAAACCGGAGGAAGGUGGGGAUGACGUCAAGUCAUCAUGGCCCUUACGGCCUGGGCUACACACGUGCUACAAUGGUCGGUACAGAGGGUUGCCAAGCCGCGAGGUGGAGCUAAUCUCACAAAAACCGAUCGUAGUCCGGAUCGCAGUCUGCAACUCGACUGCGUGAAGUCGGAAUCGCUAGUAAUCGCGAAUCAGAAUGUCGCGGUGAAUACGUUCCCGGGUCUUGUACACACCG